UAUAAAUGUUAAUUUUAAGACCAGGGUAGUAAUAGUUAAGUUCUUGAAACCCAAAGAAUUUGGCGGUACAUUAGUCUUUUCAGAGGAAUCUGCCCCUUAAUUGACACUCCACGAGAAAUUUUACUUGUUUUUGUUUUCAGCUUGUAUAUCUCCGUCAUAAAAGAAUCUUUUUAGAGAUUAAUUUUUUAUAUACUUUAAAGGUCACAUGUCAGGUCAAGGUGCAGUUUAUGAAUAAGUGGAGGUGGAUUACAAUAAAUAUAUUUAUUACGGAUUAAAAUGUUUAAAACUUUAUGAAGGAGGAUUUGAUAGUAAUUUUGUUUAUUUAUCAUUAUGAUUUUAGCUCUAAUUUAUGC
RNAcentral lists this ribosomal RNA (353 nucleotides) under Archaeogomphus infans. Its description in RNAcentral is "partial 12S ribosomal RNA". The record is from RNAcentral. Lineage: Eukaryota; Metazoa; Arthropoda; Insecta; Odonata; Gomphidae.